Molecule: long non-coding RNA, 783 nt
Organism: Procambarus clarkii (red swamp crayfish)
Lineage: Eukaryota; Metazoa; Arthropoda; Malacostraca; Decapoda; Cambaridae
Source: RefSeq, a predicted model, not a curated record
CCUCCACAGAUCUCCAGUAUCAGCUAAUGAUACUGGUAAUGGCUCAAAAGGGCCACCACUUACGGGCUAUUCAUGCCCGUGCCAUCUUUUGGGUGGCUUAGUCUUUAUCAAUCAUCAAUCUCUACCUCCCCCCAUUCUAUCCAAACCCUUUGAACAUCAAAGCGAAGCCAGUCCUUAUCUGCCACCAGCACAAACCACUCUCGCUUGUUCACCUGGCAUUUCCCCUGCGCGAGCGCCGACACGCAGUGUUCGCUCAUCAUUUUAUACCAGCUAUAACUUGCUCGAAGCGGUUAUAUAAACCAAGGUCACGAGGAACUAAAGAACGCAAUACGGUAAGAGACAGCUGAGAAAAUUUCUUCAGGGGAGGAGGAGGCAGUAGAGGAUGUCCCUUCCGAUAUUCUGUAUCAACAAAUAAAAGUUGAUGCUUCGUGAUUGUGUGACGAGACAGUGUGGGUAACCGGCUUCCUUCACAUUUCGUAGGCCACCUCCGUCUGCAGUACUGAUGGGAGCGGUUUCCUGCAGAGGACCAAAAGAGCGCCACUCCCAGACCCGAGGAAAUGAUCCACACCACCUGCUCAUCGGGUCAAUCUUCGACACACACCCUUAGCCUGUUAAACCCAGGCGGGGACCGGAGAAGACCACUCCUGUUAGCACCCCGAGGGCUCUCCCUUCCCUUAGCUCAUGGUAAGCCUCACCCACGCGUUCUCCCCUGGAACACAAGCCACCAAUCUGUUUACAACCAGGUUCUCAAUUACUGUUGGGUGAACUCGGGUGAACAGUCAA